This 292-nucleotide ribosomal RNA is filed under the name uncultured bacterium. RNAcentral's name for it is "partial 16S ribosomal RNA". It matches the Rfam family "Bacterial small subunit ribosomal RNA", at positions 505 to 796 of the family's 1533-position model. The record is from RNAcentral.
GUGUCAGCCGCCGCGGUAAGACAGAGGUGGCAAGCGUUGUUCGGAUUUACUGGGCUUAAAGGGCGCGUAGGCGGCCCUGCAUGUCGGAUGUGAAAUCUCGCCGCUCAACGGCGGAACGUCAUUCGAAACUGCGGGGCUAGAGUGCAGGAGAGGAGAGCGGAAUUCUUGGUGUAGCGGUGAAAUGCGUUGAUAUCAAGAAGAACACCGGUGGCGAAGGCGGCUCUCUGGAAUGCAACUGACGCUGAGGCACGAAAGCGUGGGGAGCAAACAGGAUUAGAUACCCCCGUAGUCC